ACUAUUUUGGCAGAUUAGUGCAAUAAAUUUAGAAUUUAUGGAUGUAAUUUUUAUUACAAAUAGUAUUGUUGAAUUUAGAUUUAUUUAUUUCUUUUGUGGGUAGAUUAUUAUUAAUUGUUUGUGUUUUAGUGGGGGUGGCUUUUUUAACAUUACUAGASCGUAAGG
This 165-nucleotide transfer RNA is filed under the name Exoprosopa adelaidica. RNAcentral's name for it is "transfer RNA-Leu". The record is from RNAcentral. Lineage: Eukaryota; Metazoa; Arthropoda; Insecta; Diptera; Bombyliidae.